AGUGAACGCUGGCGGUAGGCCUAACACAUGCAAGUCGAACGGCAGCACAGUAAGAGCUUGCUCUUACGGGUGGCGAGUGGCGGACGGGUGAGGAAUACAUCGGAAUCUACUUUUUCGUGGGGGAUAACGUAGGGAAACUUACGCUAAUACCGCAUACGACCUACGGGUGAAAGCAGGGGAUCUUCGGACCUUGCGCGAUUGAAUGAGCCGAUGUCGGAUUAGCUAGUUGGCGGGGUAAAGGCCCACCAAGGCGACGAUCCGUAGCUGGUCUGAGAGGAUGAUCAGCCACACUGGAACUGAGACACGGUCCAGACUCCUACGGGAGGCAGCAGUCGGAAAUAUUGGACAAUGGGCGCAAGCCUGAUCCAGCCAUACCGCGUGGGUGAAGAAGGCCUUCGGGUUGUAAAGCCCUUUUGUUGGGAAAGAAAAGCAGCAGGUUAAUACCCCGCUGUUCUGACGGUACCCAAAGAAUAAGCACCGGCUAACUUCGUG
RNAcentral lists this ribosomal RNA (492 nucleotides) under uncultured bacterium. Its description in RNAcentral is "partial 16S ribosomal RNA". It matches the Rfam family "Bacterial small subunit ribosomal RNA", at positions 29 to 507 of the family's 1533-position model. The record is from RNAcentral.